GGGAGUAGAUGGGUGCUGGUGUGCCCUCUGGUCUUCAAAACCAGUAAUAGUAGUUAACCCUGCUUAGGUGGGUUCGAUUCCCACAUACUCCCGCCA
RNAcentral lists this transfer RNA (96 nucleotides) under Ruminococcaceae bacterium OttesenSCG-928-I18. Its description in RNAcentral is "tRNA-Sec". It matches the Rfam family "Selenocysteine transfer RNA". The record is from RNAcentral. Lineage: Bacteria; Bacillati; Bacillota; Clostridia; Eubacteriales; Oscillospiraceae.